GACGGGGGGGGCAAGGGUUCUUCGGAAUGACUGGGCGGAAAGGGCACGUAGGCGGUGAAUCGGGUUGGAAGUGAAAGUCGCCAAAAAGUGGCGGAAUGCUCUCGAAACCAAUUCACUUGAGUGAGACAGAGGAGAGUGGAAUUUCGUGUGUAGGGGUGAAAUCCGUAGAUCUACGAAGGAACGCCAAAAGCGAAGGCAGCUCUCUGGGUCCCUACCGACGCUGGGGUGCGAAAGCAUGGGGAGCGAACAGG
RNAcentral lists this ribosomal RNA (251 nucleotides) under uncultured bacterium. RNAcentral's name for it is "partial 16S ribosomal RNA". It matches the Rfam family "Bacterial small subunit ribosomal RNA", at positions 524 to 776 of the family's 1533-position model. The record is from RNAcentral.